AGGAACAGCAGCUGCUCAGCCCACCUUGACCUUGGGCUGAACAUCUUCUCUUGUCCUUGGCAGGGCCGCCCUCCUGGCAACCUGAGGGAAAAAAAGAAGAUGCAGAACCCACAGGAACUCUUGUAAAAGGGAGGAGCAGGAGCUCAAGUUCAGUUGAUCGUCCUUUCUUGCUGGCUUGCUAAUGUCAGGCUCCAGAAACGUACUGGUAGAGGCAAAUGUCAGAGCCUGGGCCACCCCAGGCUUGCGGUGCUCUUCUGCAUGUGCCUUACCAAGUAAACAGUUUUUUU
Molecule: long non-coding RNA, 287 nt
Organism: Phyllostomus discolor (pale spear-nosed bat)
Lineage: Eukaryota; Metazoa; Chordata; Mammalia; Chiroptera; Phyllostomidae
Exons: 3
Source: RefSeq, a predicted model, not a curated record